CAGUCAUACUGGCUUUUUCUAGUGUGAGCUCUCUGAUGACAUUGAAGACUACUGCUCCUUGUAAAAGAUUUUCCACAAUCACUACAUUUAUAAGCCUUUUCUCCUGUAUGAACUAUCUGAUGAGUACGAAGGGCAGUGCUCCAGGUAAAAGAUUUCACACAUUCGCUGCAUUUGUAAGGCUUUUCUCCAGAGUGAACUCUCUGAUGAAUACGAAGGUUGGUGUUAGUGG
Long non-coding RNA from Pipistrellus kuhlii (Kuhl's pipistrelle), 229 nucleotides. RefSeq lists it as uncharacterized. The transcript is spliced from 2 exons. The record is from RefSeq and is a predicted model, not a curated record. Lineage: Eukaryota; Metazoa; Chordata; Mammalia; Chiroptera; Vespertilionidae.